GGUUGCGAUCAUACCAGCACUAAUGCACCGGAUCCCAUCAGAACUCCGCAGUUAAGCGUGCUUGGGCGAGAGUAGUACUCGCAUGGGUGACCCCCUGGGAAGUCCUCGUGUUACAACCCC
Molecule: ribosomal RNA, 120 nt
Filed under: Helianthus annuus (common sunflower)
Lineage: Eukaryota; Viridiplantae; Streptophyta; Magnoliopsida; Asterales; Asteraceae
Source: RNAcentral